AGAAUUUAGAUGGCAUUCCACCACUGCCUUGUAAUUACAGUAAUAUGAUACCAUCCUAAUUUUUUUAUGUGACCAUGGUUUCUCUUAGGAUUUCCCUUUUUAAUGACAUGAUGAUCUCAGUGUUAAGUAUCACUUCCUGGGACUAUCUCCUUUAGAUUUCUUGUCUUCUGACUCCUAUAAUACUUAUAUCUUUACCUGGACUUCAACUUACAUUUGUUUUACCAACUUUUCACUGCAGUUAACCUCUUGUCCUUUUCAAAUUUCAAUGCCACUUCCUUCAUUAUAAUCAGUCCCUUGCAUAUACUUUCAGUUUCCUUUCUCUCUUGCCUUACCUCAGUCCUAGUUACAUCCAACCUUUUUAUGCUCUUCCCUUAAACUGUACAUGUUACUGUGACUGGAGAAAAACACAUUCACACUAGUAGUCCUAUUUUUCUGUUUAUGACCACUAACUUCAUUUUUCCCCCCCCACUAUUCCCUUGAGCUAUUAUCUCCAACCCUUUUUUGAGACAGGGUCUUUCUAAGUUGUAGAGGCUGGCCUCUAAGUUAAAUACUCCUGCCUCAGCCUCCUGAGUUGCUGGGAUUGUAGGUGUGCACCAACAUACCGAACCAUGACCACCAACUUCCUGUGGGCCCUGAGUGCUACCUAGCAAUUGUUAUAUUUCCCUAGUUCUUUUACUCCUCUUUGCCUCAGAAUUUUAGCACUUCUUCUGUCCUUACUUUAGGUACAUGACCUACUUCUCUGUUUUACUGCAUAAUUAGCAGCAUACCUACCUGCAUAUGGGCCUCGUAAUCUGCUGUUCUUUUGUUAUGUAGAUCGACCUUCUGUACUAUAGUAAGUGCAAACACUUCUGUUUGUACAUUGAUUCCGUACCCUGUCGUAUAUUCAAAGGUAUUGCUCUAGCAGUUUUCUCCUCAUAAUGAAUUUGCUCCUCUACUGGAUCAUUCACAUCAGUACCUAAACGUGAUUUAUGAUUCUCAGUCUUAAAACUGUCAUUUCUUGGCAUAACAUUGUUCUUCAUCUUCUCUCCAUACCCCAGUUUUCUUUUCAACCAGUUUUUUAAAAGAGGUGUCCAAACCCACUGUCUCUUGUUCUCUCAUCUUUUUCUCUGUUGUCUCUGCCCCAGUCAGGCUUUGAACCUUUGUUUCAUCAAAAUUGUAUCCUCGUGAUCAUCAUAAACCUCAGUGUUGCUAAACUGGUUAAGGUUUGGUUUUAAGCUUGAACAUCAGCACAUUUUGUCAUAGUUGUCAUUCCAUCCUCAAGACAAAUUCUUGGCUUAGUUUUUGUGAUGCCUGCCUUGACUGGUUUCUUACGUCACUGGUGGCUCUUGUCAUCUCAUUUAUCUAAAUCAGCAUUAUACAAUCAGGAUAUAAUAUAAGCCAUGUACAUAAUUUAAGAUUCUAGUAGCCACAGGUAAAUUAAUUUUAAUUGCUUAUUUAAGUGUGUGUGUGUGUGUAUGUGUGUAUGUAUGUAUGUGUAUAAACUGUUUUAAUUUAAAACACACAGUCAUUGCCACUGCAUUAGCGUAUAUUCACAAGUAUUCUAGGCAUCCUAAUCUUGCACCAAGGGCAGGUUAAUAAUAGAUGAUUUUAAAGUAAAACUGGCACAAUUAAAAAAUGAAAGAUUCACAUAAUGAUUGUGCCCUGCUUUUUUUACAAAAAAAAAUUAUGACAAAAUCUGCCAUGAUUAUGUAUUCAAAUAUGGCAUUAGUAAAUGUUUAAUAUUUUCAGAAAAAUUGAAUUAAAAUAUUAAUGAAUAACAGUAUUUACUACUUACCAUAAUAUUAAUGUUUUGCAUUCUUUUGAACUAAGUAUUUGGUAUGUGCUUUAUACUUAACAGUGCAUCUCAGUUUGAACUGGCUACAUUUCAAGUGCUCAAAGUAGCUCAGGGGCUGUCAUAUUGGACAGCUUAGCUCUAAAUGUUGGUGUGGCUCAGGCCCAGUUUUACACCUCUUUUCUAUCUAUACACACUCUCUUGGUGAUGUCAUGCAGUUCCAUAUCUGUCUCCUAGUGAAGCCCAAAUUUGUAUCUGUGACCUAGACCUGUUCCUUGAACCUUGUACUUAUAUGUGCUACUGCCUAAUCUUACAUCUCCACUUGCAAGUCUGUUUCAAAUUCAACAUUUCCAAACUGAGCUGGUGCUAAUUUUCCCCUUGCUUCCAACAACUUCUUUCUGUAGCUCUCGAUUUUAGCAAAUGGAAUGCAUCCAUUCUUAUUGUAUAGAUCUAAAACCUUGAAGUCAUACUUAUCUCUUAUCUUUCUCCCAAACCCCACUUCUAAAACCAUAGGAAGUUCUAUGAACCAAAAGUUAACAAACUGCAACCUGCAGGCUAACCUAGCCUACUGCCUAUGUUUUCUGUGGCUCUUGAACUAAGAAUGGUUUUUGUAUUUUUAAAUGGUUAGAGUUAAUUGGUUAUGUAAGUACCUGUGUAAUAUCCUUAAUUUUGCUAGUGGACCAGCAAAGGAUUAAUAUAAUCUGGCCCUUUAAGAAAAAGAUUCUCCACUGCUGAGCUAUAUUGUCUGUUUCUUCAUUUAACAGAAUUUGCCAAACAUUGUGGCAGAAGCUGGGAAAAAAAGUGUAAUAUCUCUCUGCUGUGCAGGGUGAGAAAGGGAGGGAGUAAGCUUCUUGCUUGUUUAUCCAGCUUCUACUUAGAGAUCCACAUUGCAAAUUCCAAUAUCCCUGAUUCCUGAAUGUUUUCUUCAUCCUUUCUUUUCUCUGACAUCUAUUUUUUUUGCUUUUAAGUCAGUUUUCUUUAUCCAUUUACUUUUCAUUUUCCAAAAAUUUCUUUAUGUGUCUUGUCUGUUGUCUUUCAACUCUUUGUCCUUGAGGUUUAAAUUUUUAAUUCCUUUGCUGUCAUUUUAGUAUGAUUUCAAGAGAUAAUAGGAAUAUCACAUUUAGCUAUAAGUUCAACAGUUGUUUUAUAUUAACUCUACUGAUUAUAUGGCCACAACCUGGUUGCUCAUCUUCUUCCCCUGGCAUGUUGUAGUCUUGAAUGUUUUAUUUUUUAAUAUCUUAUGAUGUAGAUAAUGUUCCUUCUGGCUCUUAUGCCUUUUCUCUUCCUCUUAUCCUUUUAGACCAAAGUCCUACUUAUAUUUAAACUCUUAUGACUCACCAGAGACACACUUCAGUUUUAUUCUCUGCUCUUCCUUAGAACUCUCUUCUCUUCUGUUAGAACUGAAAUCCACAUAUCCUGAUUCUCAUGGAACAGUCCUACUUGGCACCUUAUGUCCUUGUAUAAUCAUUAAUAACAUCCCCUUUUGUUUAGCCCUUUCUGUGCCAUUUUUUUAAAACAUGGACAUGAUAUCUAGAGGUAUUGCUCUGUUUUGUCAAUAUAAAGUGACACGUGAAAUCCAAGAGUUUGGAAUGGUGGAGCUGAAAGAUUACUGUACUUUUAAUAUACUUGUUACUUGGCAUAAUGAAAGUCUGUAUCAGUUAAAUCCCUGUAGAUGGCAUUUUUUUUUUCUUGCUUGCAUCUGAGUGUGUUUGUAACUCAUGCAAAAGUAAAUAAAUAAUAACACUGUAAGGGCUGGGGAUGUGGCUCAAGAGGUAGCCUGCUCACCUGGCAUGUGUGCAGCCUAGGUUCGAUUCUCAGCACCACAUACAAAUAAAGAUGUUGUGUCUGCCGAAAACUAAAAAUGAAAAAAAAAAAUUCUCUCUCUCUCUCUAAAAAUAAAUAAAUAAAUAAAUAGGUAAAUAAAUAAAUAAAAAUAACACUGUAAAUGUUUCAUUUCUUUUGGUAAGGAGUAAAUACUGUUAUUCAUUUGGUCUGUUGUCUUUCCAAAUAUUUUCGGUAACAUGUAUACACAGCAUUUUAUUUAAUAUAGAAUUAUAUAAACUCUUUGCAAUUUGCUUUUUUGUCCCUGGACAAGAGAAAAUAAAUGAGUCAACACUUUCGGGUAUAUCUACAGCAUUUUUCUUAUUGACUGCAGAACAUCAUGUAAAUAGUACAUUUUUAAAAAUAAUUUAAAUAUUUUAAAUUUAAAAUAAUUAUUUUAUCAAAGAAUGCUAAAACUGGACAAAAGUAUAGUGAGACACAGGACACGAAACUUUUCUGAGAAUACCUUCUGAUAUUAGAUAUAAGAUAUUAGUUACAAAGGAAGAAUACUAAGUUAUGGUGGAGAAAAUUUGUAGAUACCACCUUAGCCAGGUGGCCAGAAUAAUCAUCAGUAAUGCAAUACACUGUCACCCUGAGCCUGCUUCUCUAGCACUUUAAGGAUCUAACUGAAGCCAGGUUUGGUUGCACAUGUCUGUAAUCCUGGCUAUUCAGUAGGCUGAGGCAGGAGGAUUGUAAAUUUAAGUCCACCCUCAACAAUUUAGUGAGACCCUGACUUAAAAUAAAAAGAGCUGGCAUAUAACUUAGUGGUAAUGUUCCCCUGGGUUCAGUCCCCAGUAUCAAGGGGGUAAGAAUGGGGAGGAAGGAUUCAGAAAUACUAUGGUAUUUAUGUCAAAUAUGACAUAAUUUGAAUUUUAUCUUGAAAAACACCAGGCAAGCUCAUAUUGAGGUAUUACUACAAAAUAACUUUGGCUCAUUCUAUUUCAAAAUAUUAUGCAUGAAAAAUAAGAGGUUAAAGAUUAAAGAAACAUGGAUUCCUGACUUUAGAAUUGUGUUGUGGUUAUGUAAGAGAAUGAGUUUGUUUUUAGGAAAUCACAUCACAGUAGGAACAUUAUAGUAUGUAAUGUAGUUUCAGAGGUUUCAGGGAAAAAAAUACAGGGAAUUCUAAAUUAAUGUGGUAAAAAAAGUGUUUUCCAAACUUUGUAAUCUGAAUUUUUUUUUUUUUUUCCAAAUUAAAGUGAAAGUAUAGCCUCUGGGAAGUAAGACCACUUGUGUACUCUGAUUCUGUUAUUUGCUAAGUUUGUGAUUUUGGGGAAGUUAACCUUUCUAUGUAUUAGUUUCCUCAUCUGUAAGAAAUAGUUUGUAAUAGUACCCACUUCAGAGCAUUAUUGUGAGGAUAAUGAAGUUAAUACAAUAGAAUAUUCAAACAGUGUCUGGCAUAUGAUCAGCACUUAAUAACGUUUGCUAUUAAUAUUAGUAUCCCAUUAUGAAUAAAAUAAAUUAUGAGCCACUUACUAAUGGACAUUUACAUAUUUUCAAGUCUAAUCUGAAAUACUGGUAUGCAUGCUCUAACACUGACCUAUAUCCCCAACCUGAAAUGAAUAAUAAAUCAACAAUCUUGAUUGUUAAGGUUUAGAGAUUUUAAAAAUUCGCUAUUUAGAAUAUAUUAUUACUACAAUCAAGAUUUUUUUUAAACUGGGGAUGUAGCUCAGUGAUGAACAUGUGUGAGGACCUGGAUUCAAUUGUUUGUUAUUCCCCCUCAAAAAAAUUAUUGUUUUGUUGGAAUUAAAUUGUCUUUCCAUACUGGUGAUGUUGGGUGUUCUGUUAAUAUAGUUAUUAUUGUUAAUGUUGCUUGAAGUAUCCUUGUUGAGCUGCAUUGUUUAAAAUGUAAUAUUUUUAUAGAGACCUAAAUGUGCCUGAUAGUUGUAAUAUAUUGUAAAGGUUCUGGAAAAUCUGGUAAGGAAUGUCGGCUUUACACAUUAAGAUGUCUUACUUCUCUCUGGAUAAUAGGCUUUACAAAGGCAGUGAUUGUUUUUUACCAUUGUAUCUGUGGUAUCUAGCCCAUACUAGUCUCUAUAUGUUGCUCAGAAAAUGGUUUAGAAUGAGUGAAUAAAUGAUCAAGAUUUCAUUGCCAUUAUUAUUA
RNAcentral lists this long non-coding RNA (5693 nucleotides) under Marmota monax (woodchuck). Lineage: Eukaryota; Metazoa; Chordata; Mammalia; Rodentia; Sciuridae. The record is from RNAcentral.